RNAcentral lists this transfer RNA (72 nucleotides) under Cordylochernes scorpioides. RNAcentral describes it as "tRNA-Ala". It matches the Rfam family "tRNA". Rfam says of the family: Transfer RNA (tRNA) molecules are approximately 80 nucleotides in length. Their secondary structure includes four short double-helical elements and three loops (D, anti-codon, and T loops). Further hydrogen bonds mediate the characteristic L-shaped molecular structure. tRNAs have two regions of fundamental functional importance: the anti-codon, which is responsible for specific mRNA codon recognition, and the 3' end, to which the tRNAs corresponding amino acid is attached (by aminoacyl-tRNA synthetases). tRNAs cope with the degeneracy of the genetic code in two manners: having more than one tRNA (with a specific anti-codon) for a particular amino acid; and 'wobble' base-pairing, i.e. permitting non-standard base-pairing at the 3rd anti-codon position. Lineage: Eukaryota; Metazoa; Arthropoda; Arachnida; Pseudoscorpiones; Chernetidae. The record is from RNAcentral.
GGGGAUAUAGCUCAGUGGUAGAGCGUCCGCUUUGCAUGUGAAAGGUCCCGGGUUCGAUCCCCGGUAUCUCCA